RNAcentral lists this small nucleolar RNA (139 nucleotides) under Triticum aestivum (bread wheat). RNAcentral describes it as "Small nucleolar RNA Z247". It matches the Rfam family "Small nucleolar RNA Z247". Rfam says of the family: Z247 is a member of the C/D class of snoRNA which contain the C (UGAUGA) and D (CUGA) box motifs. Most of the members of the box C/D family function in directing site-specific 2'-O-methylation of substrate RNAs. The record is from Rfam by way of RNAcentral. Lineage: Eukaryota; Viridiplantae; Streptophyta; Magnoliopsida; Poales; Poaceae.
CCAAUCGAGGAGGACGAGUUCAUCUCUUUCAUCGUCACCGGGCUUGAUAUGGAAUAUCAGCCCAUCAUCUCUGCACUCGACGUCCGCACCGAGCCCAUCACUGUCGAUGCACUCUUCUCGAUGGUGGCAAACUUCGAUC